Molecule: non-coding RNA, 129 nt
Organism: Purpureocillium lavendulum
Lineage: Eukaryota; Fungi; Ascomycota; Sordariomycetes; Hypocreales; Ophiocordycipitaceae
Source: the annotation of a GenBank genome assembly
GGCAGAGUGGCCGAGUGGUUAAGGCGGCAGACUUGAAGCAGAGAAACACUCUUCUUUAACCGGAAAAUGUUAUCUCUUGUCAGACAUCUGCUACAUUCGUGUGCGUAGGUUCGAACCCUGCCUCUGUCG